AGCGAACGCUGGCGGCAGGCUUAACACAUGCAAGUCGAGCGGGCCUUUCGGGGUCAGCGGCGGACGGGUGAGUAACGCGUGGGAACGUGCCCUCUGGUUCGGAAUAACUCAGGGAAACUUGAGCUAAUACCGGAUACGCCCUUUUGGGGAAAGGCUUGCUGCCGGAGGAUCGGCCCGCGUCUGAUUAGCUAGUUGGUGAGGUAACGGCUCACCAAGGCGACGAUCAGUAGCUGGUCUGAGAGGAUGAUCAGCCACACUGGGACUGAGACACGACCCAGACUCCUACGGGAAGCAGCAGUGGGGAAUAUUGGACAAUGGGCGCAAGCCUGAUCCAGCCAUGCCGCGUGAGUGAUGAAGGCCUUAGGGUUGUAAAGCUCUUUUAUCCGGGACGAUAAUGACGGUACCGGAGGAAUAAGCCCCGGCUAACUUCGUG
Molecule: ribosomal RNA, 433 nt
Filed under: uncultured bacterium
Lineage: Bacteria
Description: partial 16S ribosomal RNA
Rfam family: Bacterial small subunit ribosomal RNA
Source: RNAcentral